RNAcentral lists this unclassified non-coding RNA (309 nucleotides) under plant metagenome. RNAcentral describes it as "partial contains 5.8S ribosomal RNA, internal transcribed spacer 2, and large subunit ribosomal RNA". The stretch from base 1 to 105 matches the Rfam family "5.8S ribosomal RNA", at positions 50 to 154 of the family's 154-position model. The record is from RNAcentral.
GAAAUGCGAUAAGUAGUGUGAAUUGCAGAAUUCAGUGAAUCAUCGAAUCUUUGAACGCACAUUGCGCCCCUUGGUAUUCCAUGGGGCAUGCCUGUUCGAGCGUCAUUUGUACCCUCAAGCUCUGCUUGGUGUUGGGUGUUUGUCCCGUCUCCGCGCGUGGACUCGCCCCAAAGUGAUUGGCAGCCGGCGUACUGGUCCCGGAGCGCAGCACAUGUCGCGCAAACGAGUGCCUUGGUACGGCGGGGUCCAUAAGCCCCUCUCUCACGCUCUUGACCUCGGAUCAGGUAGGGAUACCCGCUGAACUUAAGC